UAGUAAUCAGUUUCAGUCCUAAAGACCAAAUCUACAGUGCAACCGUAUGUCUAGAUCAAAUCUACAGUGCAACCGUAUGUAUAGAUCUUUAUCUAAAGUAAUACAAACAUCAAUCAGUAUCAAUUAAAUGUAAACACAAAUUUAAAUAUGCCAAACCUAUUUUAAAAUAAAUCCUUCAAAAACUGCAUCUCUGAUCUAAAUUCAUUUAUCAUGAUACUUGAAUCAAGCAUAACUAUAACAACAGUAAAAUGACCUUUGUGAACCGCGUACAUGUCAGCUUCUAUCAGGAAGUACGACUUAUAGAGGUUUCACUGUAACUAUACAACCAGGUACAGAUCUGGUGAAACUUAAAAGGUUGUGUGGCACAUGAGCGGCAAGUGACAGCAAUAGCGAAGAAUUCAUUUUUUUUUCUAAACAUCCCGUUUUGUUUCUUAGGUCAAAUAUAUAUAUAUAAUCUGCAUCAGUUCUAUCAGUCUUGCAUUAUGGAACGACCAGUUAACUUUAUUAAAGGUUGAGGGAUGCUAUGGUAUUUGCUAAAACAAUAUUCUGAUCCUCAAUUCGACGAACAAAUUAUUGUGGUCAAGCGGAUGACCAAAAAAAAAAUCCAGAUUUUUUCCUUACCCUACAGUAUUAUUAUUUUUUUGAUUGAUAGCUUAGUAAAACUUAAAAAAAAUAUUCAUAUACUCAGACAAAAAUUCAUAAACUUCCCUGAAGUUAUUAUACUAAAACUCCGUCCAAAUGAAUUAAAUACCUAGUACUCGUUUUUAUUGGGGGGUCGGAGAAGGCUCAUUGACCUUGUGAUCUAAAUAGUCGAACUACUGUUUAACCAGCGGGUCGACCCUGGGAUUGUGAGUUGAAAUCCCACUAGUGGCAGGUGACUCUAAUUGACUAGCAUUGCUAGUUUUACUACCGAAGGCCAGUGAUUUUCUCCUAGCACUCCAGCCUCCUCUAUUAAUGAUAAUGACCGCCACAAAAGAGGUUUAAAAAUAGAGUAAAUUUAAAACACAAAUCAAUUAAUUAAUAGUGAAACUAUUUAAGUUGAUGUAUGAAAUACUAGGUUCUGGCAGAAAUCUAUCAUGGUCUACAAUAUGUUUUAAUGAGAAAAAAAUCGGAAUAAGGUGACGCGCUUGAAGCCAAUUAAAGGAAAUAUUAAUAAAUUAUGAAAAUAAUUUAAGAAUAAUCAACUAUUUUUUUGAAAUUUUACCAAGAAUGCAUGAUUAGAUUAUGAUACGGCGAGUUCUAGACGCUUUAUGUCAUUUCUUCGUGUUUCUGUUUGAACCUAUGAUGUUGCCAUUUUGUUUUAAGUUGUUAUGAACCUUCAUCCGCUUUGUCCGUCGUGUGAUUUCACCACUGGAGAAUAUACACCUGAUUUCCCGUAAUGUUUAUAAUCAUCACAACAGAAAAUAAACUACGAUACCGAAAUUAAGGUUUUGCAAACGUAUUUGAGUAGAAUAGUCAAAGUUUGAGUAAAACAUGUAAGUUCUGUAACGGCACGUUCACGCAGUAUAUUGGAAAAGAAAUGCAUUUAUAACAAUCUCUGAUGCAUAUUAAAUUUAAUUAUAUAGAGUAUUAUAUAGCGAACAAAUAUAAAUCUAUCCAUGUUUUAUAAAAAUAAAAACUUUGGAACAUACAAGGAAUAGAAUGUAGUCCACUAAUUAAAAAUGAAAAUUCUUUAUGAAGACGUCAUGGUUAAACAAGAACAAAAUUAUCAAAAAUGGAUAUGUCUUACAUGAUUUAUUUUGAAAGAUCAGUUUGCAAUUAUUAGUCCAGCAUCAUUGAGGCCCCUCAUGGGGGGGGGGGGUCCUAGUAAUCACAUAAUCACCAUUUUUUUGCCAAUAUAAUCACAUAAUCAUUAAAUAUUUGCUUAUCUUUAGUAAUCAAAUAAUCAUAAACUAAAAAUAA
RNAcentral lists this long non-coding RNA (1902 nucleotides) under Mytilus galloprovincialis (Mediterranean mussel). Lineage: Eukaryota; Metazoa; Mollusca; Bivalvia; Mytilida; Mytilidae. The record is from RNAcentral.